This 253-nucleotide ribosomal RNA is filed under the name uncultured bacterium. RNAcentral describes it as "partial 16S ribosomal RNA". It matches the Rfam family "Bacterial small subunit ribosomal RNA", at positions 524 to 776 of the family's 1533-position model. The record is from RNAcentral.
UACAGAGGUCUCAAGCGUUGUUCGGAAUUACUGGGCGUAAAGCGUGCGUAGGCGGCGGGGUAAGUCGGGUGUGAAAUCUCGGGGCUCAACUCCGAAAUUGCAUUCGAUACUGCCUUGCUCGAGCACUGGAGAGGAGGCUGGAAUUUACGGUGUAGCAGUGAAAUGCGUAGAUAUCGUAAGGAAGGCCAGUGGCGAAAGCGAGCCUCUGGACAGUUGCUGACGCUGUGGCACGAAGGCUAGGGGAGCAAACGGG